UAGGGAAUCUUCGGCAAUGGGGGGAACCCUGACCGAGCAACGCCGCGUGAGUGAAGAAGGUUUUCGGAUCGUAAAGCUCUGUUGUUAAGGAAGAACGAGUGUGAGAAUGGAAAGUUCAUGCUGUGACGGUACUUAACCAGAAAGGGACGGCUAACUACGUGCCAGCAGCCGCGGUAAUACGUAGGUCCCGAGCGUUGUCCGGAUUUAUUGGGCGUAAAGCGAGCGCAGGCGGUUAGAAAAGUCUGAAGUGAAAGGCAGUGGCUCAACCAUUGUAGGCUUUGGAAACUGUUUAACUUGAGUGCAGAAGGGGAGAGUGGAAUUCCAUGGGUAGCGGUGAAAUGCGUAGAUAUAUGGAGGAACACCGGUGGCGAAAGCGGCUCUCUGGUCUGUAACUGACGCGGAGGCUCGAAAGCGUGGGGAGCGAACAGG
Molecule: ribosomal RNA, 429 nt
Filed under: Bacteroidota bacterium
Lineage: Bacteria; Pseudomonadati; Bacteroidota
Description: Bacteroidetes bacterium partial 16S ribosomal RNA
Rfam family: Bacterial small subunit ribosomal RNA
Source: RNAcentral